CAGGCCAGUGUUUCCAGCCAUCAUGUCAGAGCUGAGUGGAGUGGCACUGGGUGCCAAGGCAAACACCCAGCCCAGCUGUGCUGGGAAGAACUGAGCUCCAAUGUGUCUUGUGACCCAGCUCCUCCCACCCACCUGGCUGUGUCUCCUAUCCUGCAGAGUGCCAGCACCCACUAACCUGUAAAUAGCACCUUGUUCAGGGGGAGUGAUAUUCUUUGACUGUAUGAUUUGGGGCCUUGCUGCUCAAAAUGUGGUCAGCAGCAUUGACAUCACCUGGGAUCUCAUUACAAAUGCAGAAUCUCAGACCUCACUCCAGAUGUGCUGGAUGAGAAUGGCCAUUUUCACAAGCUCCCCAGGAUAUGUGUGCCUGUUAAAGUUUGAGAAGCACUGAUCGGAGGACUUCGGUUAUAAUCCCACCUCCUUCUAUAAGUGAUUAAAGAAAAUUCACUUAUACUCUCCUUUGAACAGCUGUAUGCUUCUCAAUUUCUCUCUCUCUCUCUCUCUCUCACACACACACACACACACACACACUUUAUUUUUCAAUCUCUAUAGACUUGCUUCUUUGUAAGGCUCUCAAUUUCUCCUCCCCAGUGACACAAGCUUGCAUGUGGAUAUAGCUCGUCAUGGUGCCUAUUUAUCUUCAACUUUAUGCAACCUUAGCACUCUUUUACUCAGAAACCUUUUGACUGGGAGAGCAGGGCAAACUCAAAUCCCUACAGAGACCAGGAAGGCAGCAUGGAUGAGUGCAGAAAGCUACAUUUGUUUCAGAAAGGAAUCAGUGUAUAUUCUUUCAGCAGACACAUUUAGUUUGUUUCUUAUAAGCCACUAGAAGAGUCAUUACUUUCACAAAGUCAUAUGCUUAUUCCCAUUUUUCAUAAAAUAUGGCCUAUCUUCAGUUUUCCCAGUUUUGAUACAGAAAAAAAUAUAAGAAAGAUUUUCUAUUUCCUAUAACUAUAAAAGCCCACUAAUAGCACCAGCACAGCCACCCCUGGGCUUCACACAGGGAGUGGCAGGAGCUGUGCAGAUGGAGAGUGCAUACUGGUGUGAAGGGGGCAAUGGAUCUCAGCUCCAGCCAUUGUCUUCAUGCAGGAAUUUGGGACCAUUUUACCGGAUCCUCCCAUUUCUUCAAGAGAAGCCGGAAAUCUGGAUUUCUAUGUGAAAUCUCCCACUUUUUUAUGCUGGCAACUAAUUUUCUUUAAACACUGUGCCAAACAAAACAUACCUGCAGGCCAAAAUCUACACCCUCUGGGCUGGAUUUCAAUGUCUCUUAAACUCUCAACAGAGAGCAUCUUACUGUUUCAGUUCAGGGUAGAUGUCUACCCAUGGUCCCAUCGAGUGGGGUCUGGAUAUGGAAUCAGCUAGAAGAAGCAUAGUCUAUGCCCAUUCUUUCAGCAGGGACUGUGGGCAGGAAACCAUUUCCAAAGAAGCAGGCAUGAGUUGGUGGCCAUACAAAUAUAUAUGUUAUAUUGAUAAAUAUAAAAACAGGAGAUUCUGGGGGACCACAAGUUUUUACAAAUUAGGCUUAUUUUAGGAUAAAUUCACCCUUGUUAGUGUGCAGUUCUGUGAGUUUUGAUAUACAUAUGCAGUCAAGUAACCACUCCCACAAUUAAGAUACAGAAUAAUUCCAUCACCCCCCAAAUUUCUUGUAUGCCCCUUUAUAGCUAGCCCCUGACCCUAACCUCUGGCAAUCACUAAUAUAUUCUCUUUUUCUAUAGGCUUGCUUUUUUUCAAAAUGUCAUAUACAUGGAAUCACACAGUUUAUAGCCUUUUGAGUCUGGCUUAUUUUACUCAGCAUAAUGCCUUUGAGCUUUAACCAUGUAAUUUCAUGUAUCAGUAGUUCAUUCCUAUGUAUUGCUAAGUAAUUUUCCACUGUAUAGAUGCACCACAGUUUGUUUAUCCAUUCACCAAUUAAAGCCAUAAUCAACUUCCAUGUAGAAGUUUGUGUGUGAACACAGUUUUAAUUUAUUUGGGGUUACUACCUAGGAGUGAGAUUCUGGGUCUUAUGGUAAGCAUACAUUUUACUAAGAAACUAUAAAACUCUUUUCCAAAGUGGCUGAACCAUUUGACAUUUCUAACAGCAAUAUUUGAAAGUUCCCAUUGCUCUGUAUCCUCUCCAGUACUUACAUGCUCAGCAUUUUGGUUUGGUCUGGUUUCAUUGUUUCUGAGCUCUUCUGAUAGAUGUGGAGUACACCCCCAUUUUGGAUGAAUUGUGCCAAAUGUGUAGACCAUCCUCAAAAUCUAAGGUCUCAGUAAAAACAAUUAAACAUGAUUUCUGAUAUAAUGUCUUAUCCUUGAAAACCCUGACCCAUCCAUCUUCAGCACAUUCACAUGUGUAAUAAGGUAAGUGAUUUUUAAUUCCACCAGGUUUAAAGACCCCUGACGUGACUUAUUGCCAUUCUGCUACUGAGCCUUGAGAGAUUAUGGUAAGUGCCAAGAAAAAAAAAAUGACUUUGAACUGCUCUUUCACCAGUUAAAAAUAACACUGAAACCAAAUGUAAACAUAAAAGAAGUGGUCAGAUUCGGGUUACAUAUUAACGGUGUUUGGUCAGGCUGGAGCUGAGGCACAGCAGCAGAGAAUGCCUUUUACUUAUCACUGUUUCCAAACCUCCCUACCUGGACUAGGCUUGACUGGAUUUACAAGAGACCUUUUGAAAAGAUGCAGAGAAGGCAAGCAGCACACAUUUCCUGGUAAUAAAUUUUAAAGGUUGCUAAAACAUUCCAGAGAUUUUCACUCAACAUUCCUCUGGCCAACACAUCUGCAAUCUGCCAAUCCUUAAAAAUAGGUGUUUUUGCAUUUUAAUCUCACAAACAUCUUUGAAAAUGCAUUUCUUCUCUGCCCCUGUGUUGGACAAAUCCAGCUUUUUCCAUUUUCUAAAAACCACAGAAAUAUAAUGCUGCUUAAUUCAUACAAGACUGAGCUAACUGGAGUUAAAAUAAAAUUUCUGAGAGUUUGUUUGGCUCACUCUUCCCUACCAGAUGAUUCCAUUCUUAAAACGGUCCUGUGAUUAUAUUCUCUCAUUACAGAGGUGUCCAGAAAAAAAAUAAGGAGUGCAGUUCUGAAAUUAUAUAAAAGCAAAAUUAUUACUCUAAACGUAAGAGCUGUGAUAGAUCGUGUCAUUGACCAUGGUUCUUUUCCCCUGACACACACGUCCCCACCACCCACCCACUGUAUCCAUAUGCCUUUUGCCAUAUGACUUUGCAGCUCUCCCCACUAAAGGGGCAGCCAUGCGAUUUGCUUUGGCCAAUGAAAUGAGGCAGUAGUGGUGGUAUCCUAGUUCUGAGCCUAGGUCUCAAGAAGUCUUAUGUGUUUCUGCUUAUCCUCUUAUACCUCUGCCAUCACCAUGAGCCAAACAUCCCCCAAGUAGCCCACUGGUCCCAGGACAAGGAGGGAGACAUGAAGCAGAGCUCAUCCAGCUGCUGCAGCCCCACUUGACCCAGAGACCUACACUGGGAAGCAGAGCUGCCCAGUCAAGUCCAACCUGGAUGUGUGGAACCCCAGCCAACCUGAUGCAUGAGCAGGAGAUCAGCUUAAUAUUGAAUCCUAGCCUCAAUGCUUUGGAUUUGUGCCAAGAAAAAUAACCUGAUCCCCAGAAUCAUUGAGAAUUGACGGGGGUCCUCAGGCUGCUCACGGCAUUGGAAGACAUCAUAAACAUUAAUGGAGAGCGGGAUGCCAGAAUAAGUUGAUCCAAAUGAUGCAGGAAUAUUUAGCAGCAAGGAGAAAGGAAUUCACAUUUCUCAGUACCCACUAUGUGCCAUACUUUGUGAUAAGAUGGUUUCCCUCCAAUAUAUCCUCAUUGUCAGCAAUGUCGGGAAACAGGAAUCAUUUCCCCUUCUACAGGUGAUAAAACUGAAGCAAGAAACAUACAGGCUAACAUCAGCUGAGCUGAGAUUUGAACUCCACUCUUUUUGACCCUGGAGCUGAUGAAUGCUGCUUCUAGAGGUUGAGUAUCCCUUAUCCGAAAUCCUUGGAACCAGGAGAUUUUUGGAUUUGGGAAUAUUUGCAUAUACAUAAUGAGAUAUCUUGGAGAUGGGACCCAAGUCUAAAUACAAAAUUAUUUUGUUGUAUAUACACCUUGUACACAUAGACUGAAGAUAAUUUUAUACAAUAUUUUAAAUAAUUUUGUGCGUGAAACAAAGUUGUGACUAUGUCUUGACUGUAAGACAUCUUGCAUGCAACCCAUCAUAUGAGGUCAGGUGCAGAAUUUUCCAUUUGUGGUGUCAUGUUAGUGCUCAAAAAUUUUCGGAUUUUGGAGCACUUCAGACUUUCGUUUUCCAGACGGGGGAUGCUCAACCUGUCUUAGAACCUGUGGUCUCCCAUCAUGCCUCCCUUCCCCAUUCCCUUGCUCCACUGGGGUCUGAGGUGGGAAAGCAAAAGGAGUUGCAGGUAACCCUCACUUUUCACACCAGGCAAUCUCUCCCCACAAUCUGUCACAUUCCUGAAGAACAAGGAAGCAGAGCACUCCACUGAAGAAAUUCUGUUAAAAUCUAUCCCCAACGUAUAAGCAUCCAUCUUUGUCCCAGUCUGGGUCUAACAUGAACAAAGUGCUUAAACAAUUCAGUAGAGGAGAAAGGGAACUUGGAGCAGCUCUGUCACCCUGAAGUGACACUGCCAUGCUGCAUUUCCUGUCUGUAAUAUCUCUUCAGAGCAAUUGUUUUCUUCUGUGAGGACACUUCAGAGAUUCACAGAGACAGAUGCUCUUGUGACUGACCAUAGCAAGUAUCAAAAGGCCUGGGUGGAAUUACGAAGCAUUUCUCGUGCACUGCGUAUUGGGAAGUGCUUCACAGCUGUGUGGCAGAUGUGAGUGGACAGAGGGGCAAGGGAACUGCCCCAAAGGAGGUGGCAGAGGAAGCAACAAGCCAGGGAUUGGCUGGCCGGUCCCAGCACAGCAACUGCAGCAGCAGCUUGCUAAGUUUCACAGGUGAAGCCAAAGGCUGGGGGGAAUGGAAAACAAAUAUCACUCCAUUAAAUUAAGGUCUGAGGAAAACAUGAUGAGGAAAGUCAAUAGUGAAUCAAAACAUUGAAAAGCCACUAACUUUGACUUUCCAUGUGCGUGUGCAAGUUCACGUGUGCAUGUGUGUCUGCAUGUCCAAGUUCUACACUGAUUCAAGAAAUAAUUAUAGAGGGCCUGCCAUAGGAUGGUGAGCAAAACAGUCUUGGCCUCUGUCCUGAUGGAGCAUGCAGUAUCACAGACUCUAUAUGUUCUAUUUCUAGGCCUUGUAUUUUGAGGAUAUAUGCCAGUGGAAUGAGAAUGGCUCUGUGACCUUGUUUAAGUCCCACCACUGUCUCAGGCAGGGUUUUCCAAAGUGUAGUCCUUAUACUAUUAUGUGGUGAAGAUGCUUAAUUGUUUUGUAAUUAUUUAAUGUGCGUAGGUAUCACAUCAAACCCAGUAUUUUCAAGGAUUUUUAUAGCUUAAGACAAGGCUUGUUAUAGGCAAGGUGGAUCAAUUCAAAAAAUAUAUGCUAACAAAAUAAUAGUGGAGGUGGUACAAAGAAACAGCAAAGGUAGUGAGAUGGCUUCACUGGUGUUUGUGAAUCACCAAGAUAAUGCACGUGGAAAUAAAAAUCAGUGUGGUCCAUAGAAAUACAAGGGGUUCUAAUUACCCCUCAGUGAGCACUUGCUCUCUCACUCACCCCAGCAAUGACAUAUUAAGCAAAGCACUGCCCUGACUGCAUAUGCUCUUGCCGACAACUUGGCCAGCAUUCAGAAGACACUAAGUGUGCUCUGGGAACUUCAGAAGGCACUAACAUUCCAUGGAGAACUUCACAAAGAGUGAGACCUAGUCCCUGGCCUAAAGAGAGUAUAAUUUAGUAGGAAAGAGAAGACAAACACACAAAUAACUGUAAAAUGGGAUAAGCCCCAAAGUGGAGGUACAAAGUCCCAUAGAAGAGGCUCAAUGAUAAGUCACGCCUGCCGGGUAAGGUCAAGAAAGACUUCAUGGAGAUUUGAGAUGGCAUCUGAGAUAAGCCAGGAAAGACGGUAGAAUUUCAACAACCAAAAAAGUGGGGAGAGGGAUGGGAGGCAUUCCAGAGAAGGAGAAAUGCUUGAGCAAUGGUACAGAGACCAGGAAGUUAUAUGAGGGCAGAAAGUCCCUGCUGUCUAUUUAGCUGGGAUAUAGAAUGCAAGUCAGUUAGAUGAUUAGGUGGGGUUAUAACAUAACUAGCCUUAAAUAGUGGACUGAGAAUUUUCCACUUAAUUUAAUGCAAAUGGCAGGGGAGGGGGCAGGCAAUGGAGAGCUGAAAACAGGACUGGAGAUGCGCUGGAGGGAAGUAACCCUGGAAAUGGGUGAAGUACGGGUUACUGUCACCCCAGCUCUGGUUCUUGUUAUUCCCUAGGAGAAGCAUAAUAGAAGUGUGAAUUUAGGGUAGCCAAAUGAUGACUUUGCAGAGGGAAUCUUUAGGACUUGUGACUUGAUUAAAAGCAGGGAGAUGGAUAGGGAACGUCCAAGGAUAACUAGAUAACUAGAGCUCUCCUGUUCCUCUGACUCAUGUGUGCUGAAACUGUAGAGUCAAACAAACACUUGUAAGUGGCGUGAUGUAAAUCCCUUAGGGGCCCAUGCCUGCCUCAAGAGAAGAACGUGUGGUCAGGAAAAACGACCGGGGGAAGUGAAAACGACACAAGACCCAGAGGAUAACCCUUAUUUUAUUCACACAUGCAAAUUUAGGCACAGCAAAAAGCAAAACGAAGUAUACCAAAUGUCAAGGGUUAAUUAUUAAUCAUUUCUAUAUUAAAUUAUGAGUUUUUCAGUAAGACACUUUUUGAUAAGAAACUUGAAUUACGUUCAUAACCAUCAAAAUAAAGAAAAUAAAAGAGACAGAUUUUCUUUGGUGGUGGGAGAACAUUAAGUAUUGUGGAAGCCUGAAAAAUGGUCCCCAAAAGAAUCUGGUCCUAAUCCUUAGAACUUGUGAGUAUUAUCUUACUUGGAAAAAGGGUUGUUUUAAGAUAAGGAUCUUGAGUUGGGAAGAUUGUCCUGAGUUAUUCAGGUAGGCUGUAAAUGCCAUCACAGGCAACCUUUUUACAUGGAUAUUUGACACAGAGUGGAGGAGACACCCAUAGGAGAAGGCUAUGUGAAGACAUAGCAUCGAGACACUUGAAGAUAUUGGCCUUCAAAUGGCACAGCCACAAGCAAAGGAAUGCCAGCAGCCACCAGGAAAAAGCAAAGAAUGGAUUCUCACCUAAAGUCUCCAGAGGGACUGUAGAGUAUCCUGCCAACACCUUGAUUUUGACUCUGUGAAACUGAUGUCAGGCUUCUGGCCUCCAGAACUGUGAGAGAAGAAAUUUCUGUUGUUUUAAACCUUCGAAUUUGUGGUAAUGUGUUAGAGCAGCCACAGGAAACUCAUAUUCUAAACUAGCAACUAUGAAAUGAGAAUUUCUAGUGUUCAGCUAAGAUACCACCGCAGAAGCAGCUGGAUAAUAUCAGAUGAGCCGAAAACUUCUCUUACCCCAUUUCCUUAUCCAUAAAAUUAGCAAAUAAUACCUGUCUUGCAGAGUUAAUUUUAAAGUUAUACAAGUAAAUACACUUUGAAAGUGACAAGUACUAGAAAAAUGUAGGGAAUUAUCCUACAAGUCUGGGUAUCCCCACCACCCAAGGCACAUGAAUGAUGCACAAUAAAAUAUACAAUUGGUUAGAAAUAGAACAAAGUGUUGAAAGUGCUUCAAAGCUCGAAAUGUAGGGCAUGAGGAAUGAAGGAAAUUCAGUUCAGGAAUAAAAUAUUUAUUCAGCAUCACUAAUAAGCCAGGCACUCUGCCAGAACCCAAAGGUAUAAAGAGGAACAAAUGAUAAUUCCUGCCCUGUGGAUGGCUUAUAGUCUAGGGUAGCAUUUUUACAGUGUGUUCACAGACCACUAAGCUCUCAAAUUUCUAUUUAAAGAUGCCAAAGGACCCAAGAUCAAGUGCUAUAUUCUAAUAUCUACCCUCUCCAUUUCCUACCCCCUCCCACAACCACACUUUCUGUAGACUCACAAUGUGUUAGUUAAUUUAAGGCAUUGAGUCCUGUUGUUAAUAAGCUGACUUGCCCUUAAUUAUCACAGGCUUUUCCAAAUUUCCUUGACAUGCACUAACCAUUUAACCUUGGGGAAAAGAAUGGAAUAACAUUCUUGCCUGCCUGUUGUAGCUGUCAUCAUAUUUAAAUGUAAUAAAACAUGGAAAGUGUUUAAUAAUUAUGGUGCUCUAGGCAAAAUAGCAGUCCUUCAAAAAUGCCCAUGCCCUAAUCUCCAGAACCUGUGAAUAUGUUACCUGACAUUGUAAAGCAACCUUGUAGGUGUGAUUAAAGUUACAAGCUCUGAGAAGAGAAAAUUACUCUGGAUUAUCUGGGUGGGCCCAGCUUAAUCAUAUGAACCCUUAAAAGUGGAGAAUGUUUUCCAGCUAAGGUCAGAGAAAGAGACUUGACAAAGGAAGAAGGGUCAUAGGGAUGUGAUACCGCUAGCUUUAGAGAUGAAGGAAGAGGACCACAGCCAAGAAAUGUGGGUAGCCUCUGAACACAAUACAAGGCAAGGACACGGGCUCUCUCCUUGAGCCUCUAGAAGGAGCACAGCCAUAAGGCAUUCUUAAACUAUGUCGCUUACCUUACCUACCUCAUCCACUUACUACUUGUAUGGCUAAUGGCAUGAGGAAGUCACUAAAACUCUCCGAGCCUUCCUGGCCUCCACUUAAAUGGGAGUGGUACCCACAGAGGGUCAGGAGGCUCAAUCAAAUCUCAAAUUCAUUAUCUCUUGCUUCUCAUGCACAAGUCAGUGUCAGCAGGAGGCAUCAGUGCUUCUGCAAAAAUAACUAAUUCAACAUUACUUUGUCAGAUCACAACCCUUCUUUGCUAAAACCUUCCAGAGGCUCCCUGUCUCACUCACAGAACAACCUCAUGGACUUCCUCUGUUCUCAGGAUUCUCAUGACACAAUAUGACCCCAUUUCCUCUGACUAUAGGUCCUUCCUCUCUCCCCCUUCCUGAUGGUGCUCCAGCCAUACUGGCCACCUUGCUGUUCCUGAGGCACACCAGGCAGCUUCCAGCCUCAGGACAUUUGCACUUGCUGUUUUCUCUGCUUAGAGCCCUCUUCCCCCAUAUCCACAUAGCUUGCUCCCUCAACUCCUUUAGAUCUUCAUUCGGCUAUUACCUUCUUCCUGAGGCCUUCCCUAACAACCCUAUGAAAAUUGCAAUACCUGCCAGCCAAACAUUCCCCAUCCUCCCUUCACUUUAAUUUCCGCCAUAGUAAUUUCAUCUUCUCACAUGCUGCAUAUUUAACUGUUUUGUUUACUUUCUUUCCUCCAUUGGAAUAUAAGCUCUAUCAGGGCUUUUCAUGAAGGACAUGCAAGUAGAUGCUUGAUAAAUAUUUGUUGGAUAAAUAAAUCAGUGCAUAUACCAAUCUGAAGUCACAAAAUCAAUAUGAGCAUCACCUUCCACUAAAGACAUAUCCUUUCAGUUAUCGAUGAAAAAUGAAGUUGAAAACACAAUAAUCAGCCUGUCAUUGAACAAUGCAGCUGCAGCUAAGAUCAAGUUCUUGACUGACUUUGCCGAGCCCAACCAAUUCAAAGGAAGAAUAAAAACAUGGUCAAGGGACCCAAGACCCAGCUCUUAUCCCCUACUCAGAGAAAACCCAGAGAGAACCAGCCUUCUGAUGUCUUGUCCUUCCUGGUUUUGACCAACCUCUAAAAACCAUAAGAACAGUUUGUCUCAGUAUUUCAGUACUUCCGCUUCCAGGCCCAGGAAAGAGCAGGAAGUGCAGGGGCGUGUGAAAAUCAAGAAAAAAGAAGAAUUAAACCCGCUACACAUGAAGCGCUCAAAGACUUCCUCUGUAACCUGUUGCAGCACACGAGUUUCAAUGUGCUUUCACUGAGAGCCCAGGGGGACUGUGCUGUCCCCAGAAUUUCGCACCAUGCCCCACACUCUCAAUGAACACUUGUUG
Molecule: long non-coding RNA, 9889 nt
Filed under: Homo sapiens (human)
Lineage: Eukaryota; Metazoa; Chordata; Mammalia; Primates; Hominidae
Description: HSALNT0165966
Source: RNAcentral